UAGGCAGCACGUGAACAGUCAGUUCUUGAAGCUGAUGUGUUGGAAGCAGGAAAAAUGGGCAAGCGUUAGGAUCUGAACUUUAACAAGGGCAAUAUCGUGAUGGCUAGACGACCGGGUCGGAGCGUCUCCAGAACGGCAGGUCUUGUGGGGUGUUCCCGGUAUGCAGCGGAUAGUACCUUACAAAAGUGGUCCAAGGAAGGACUACUGGUGAAUGUGCAACAGGGUCAUGGGCACCCAAGGCUUAUUGACGUGUGUGGGGAGGAUAGCGAAGGCUAGACCAUCUGCUCCAAUGCCACAGAAGAUCUACUGUCGCACAAAUUGCUGAAUGGAGCAAUGGAAGAAGGUGGCCUAGUCUUAUGAAUCACGUUGUCUUUUACAUCAUGUGGAUGGCCACGUGUGUGUGUGUGUGUGUGUGUGUGUGCAUGCGCGUCACUUAUCUGGGUUAGAGAUGGCACCAGGAUGCACUAUGUGAAGAAGGCAAGCCGGUGGAGGCAGCGUGAAGCUCUGGGUGAUGUUCUGCUGGGAAACCUUGGUUCCUGGCAUUCAUGAUAAUGCGCCCUGAGACACUGCAAAAAUUCAUCAGGAACGGUUUGAGGAACAUGACAAGGAGUUCAAGGUGUUGACCCGAUCCAAUCGAUCUGUUGGAUGUGCUGUACAAACAGGUCCGAUCCACUAAGGCCCGAUCUCACAACUCACAGGACUUAAAGGAUCUGCUGCUAACGUCUUGGUUCCGGAUACCACAGCGCACCUUCAGAGGUCUUGUGGAGUCCGUGCCUCGACGGGGCCGAGCUGUUUUGAUGGCACAAGUGCGACCUACACGAUAUUAGGCAGGUGGUUUUAAUGUUAUGGCUGAACAGUCUACAUUUCCUUUGUUAAAUAACAACGCUUCUUAAACCUGUUUAUUAUUAGUGUUAGGUAAUGGAGAUCGGCUGCAUGGACUACAAUUUCCUGUCGAUUAGGUGUCACUAUAGAAACCAUACGCAGCGUAUCAGAAGGAUAAUAUAAACCUGCACUGGUGCUAUUGACGGAGAUUCUGUUACAGAAAAUCAAUCAACACCUUCUAAACAAAUAGAAUAAAAAAAUAAUCAUUUUAAAGGAAAAAUUUAAAUUGAACUCGAGCUACUCUGGAAACUUGAAUCACUGUAUAAAAAAAAAACACCAACAAAAAAAAACACACCAACAACAACAACAACAACAUUGUGCUUUUAAAAAAAUAUAUGUAUUUUUUGUUCUGUUAAGAAUGUCUCUUGACAAAGGCUUACUGUGUGGAGGUUUGGAAUAAUAAUAAUAAUAAUAAUAAUAAAAAAGUAUAAAGACUAUAAAAAUAUAAAAAAAAUAUUGAUGUUGGGUUUUUAUGACUGAACCGAUGGAGUUCACUAGAUUGUCUUGUUUUCUGCUCCGAAAUUGACUCCAGUAAUAGCAUCUUCUCUUCCUCUGUCACUUUUAAUCUGUAAACUUCUCCCAUAAAAUGUGAUGAAUGGUUGUUUUUUUUUUUUGUUUGUUUUUUUGCAUGACUGCCACCCUUACACAAUAUAACGUGUUUCCUGGCAUCCGUUAAAUGAAUACAAAAGCAUCUAUUUUGCUGUGUGAAGACCUUUCAGAGCUAAUGUAAGCUCUCGGUAUGACUAACUCUAU
Ictalurus punctatus (channel catfish) is the source of this 1635-nucleotide long non-coding RNA. Lineage: Eukaryota; Metazoa; Chordata; Actinopteri; Siluriformes; Ictaluridae. The record is from Ensembl.